This 566-nucleotide ribosomal RNA is filed under the name Alkalibacillus salilacus. RNAcentral describes it as "bacterial SSU rRNA". It matches the Rfam family "Bacterial small subunit ribosomal RNA", at positions 865 to 1432 of the family's 1533-position model. The record is from RNAcentral. Lineage: Bacteria; Bacillati; Bacillota; Bacilli; Caryophanales; Bacillaceae.
CACUCCGCCUGGGGAGUACGGCCGCAAGGCUGAAACUCAAAGGAAUUGACGGGGGCCUGCACAAGCGGUGGAGCAUGUGGUUUAAUUCGACGCAACGCGAAGAACCUUACCAGGUCUUGACAUCUUCGGACAGCCCAAGAGAUUGGGUCUUCCCUUCGGGGACCGAAUGACAGGUGGUGCAUGGUUGUCGUCAGCUCGUGUCGUGAGAUGUUGGGUUAAGUCCCGUAACGAGCGCAACCCCUGAUCUUAGUUGCCAGCAUUGAGUUGGGCACUCUAGGAUGACUGCCGGUGACAAACCGGAGGAAGGCGGGGAUGACGUCAAAUCAUCAUGCCCCUUAUGACCUGGGCUACACACGUGCUACAAUGGAUGGUACAAAGGGAAGCCAAACCGCGAGGUCGAGCUAAUCCCAUAAAGCCAUUCUCAGUUCGGAUUGUAGGCUGCAACUCGCCUGCAUGAAGCCGGAAUCGCUAGUAAUCGCGGAUCAGAAUGCCGCGGUGAAUACGUUCCCAGGCCUUGUACACACCGCCCGUCACACCACGAGAGUUGGCAACACCCGAAGUCGGUG